Ochotona princeps (American pika) is the source of this 68-nucleotide microRNA precursor. The record is from Ensembl. NCBI's taxonomy places the organism in Eukaryota, Metazoa, Chordata, Mammalia, Lagomorpha, Ochotonidae.
GGCGUGUGUGUGUGUGUGUGUGAGUGUGUGUGUGCAGACACGCGUUUGCCUCACAGCCCCGCCUGCCC